GUCACCUCUGAGUGGACUUCCUGAACUGCACUUUUGAAAGAAAAAAGUAUGGUAGAGUUCUAAAAUCCAUGUCAAGGUGAAAGCCUUCAUCAGGUUGCAGAAGUGUGCCGUGAUACAGUGUAUUUGCCAAAUAAAGCGGUUAGUCACGCCUCUAGGAGUCAGCACGAUCCCUUUUGCAGCGCACACUAUUUCCGCCUUCGGGGGAGCGAAAUCCAGAGUCACCAAUAACUUUUCGUGGAGAAGUUCGGCUGGGAGAGACACAGACGUACCGGUCCGGGGAACCUGAUUUAUGCCUCCCAGUAGACUUUGAAGGUUUUGCGGUAGAGUAAGCGCGGAAUGCACAGCUGAAACUGGAAGUUUAGCCCACCGUCGAAAAACAAACAGUUGGUGAAACUUCAUGGGACAGCAACUGCACUGAUUUCCCCCGGAAUCGUUAUUCCUGUCAAACUUCAACCAGGUUUCCUGAAUCGUCCAUCGUCCUGUUUGCCUGAACUCACAACUGAUUUAUUGGAGGUAACAGCUGGAGAAGGAUAGUGAUCGAACACU
This is a long non-coding RNA of Engraulis encrasicolus (European anchovy), 546 nucleotides long. RefSeq lists it as uncharacterized. Lineage: Eukaryota; Metazoa; Chordata; Actinopteri; Clupeiformes; Engraulidae. The transcript is spliced from 3 exons. The record is from RefSeq and is a predicted model, not a curated record.